GAAGAGUGGCAUUCAUGAUUUCAAGACCAUGGCUGUGCAAGAUGAUAAAUUGGGUGGUAUCUUGGACAAAGACUUCAAUCUUCUCAGAUGCAACGAAGUCCAGGGAGGGAACAAGAUAUCUGGGGACUGGAGACAAUGAAAUCUGCAACAAACAUCUGGGGAAAAAAAACGAAGAGAAUCUCCCAAAGAGAGUGGAAAACACCAGAGCCAACGGCUGGAUCAUGGAAAAGCUUAACUGUCAUGGUGCCUGGCGUCCACACAGAGCCCGUGGAAGGACCUAUGCCCACCAGUAAGCCUGGAAAACUCCACCUGGACGGGCCCACAGGUAGAGUACCCAGAGGAGUCUUGCUUCAGUAGUGGGAAGCAAUUAGCUCUAGAUAAAGCACUGCUUCAGUUCCACGGAACAGACUUAAAGGCGAGAUCCAAAAGGAUCAAACUGCUUCCAAGUAACCGUGUCCCAGCACAAAG
Long non-coding RNA from Phacochoerus africanus (Common warthog), 468 nucleotides. RefSeq lists it as uncharacterized. Lineage: Eukaryota; Metazoa; Chordata; Mammalia; Artiodactyla; Suidae. The record is from RefSeq and is a predicted model, not a curated record. The transcript is spliced from 3 exons.